GAGAUGUGUGAUGACGCAUAUCAAUAAGCGGAGGAAAAGAAACUAACAAGGAUUCCCCUAGUAACGGCGAGUGAAGCGGGAAGAGCUCAAAUUUGAAAUCUUCAAGGGUUUCCCUUUACGAAUUGUAGUUUAAAGAAGUGUUUUCUGUUGGAGUUUCGGUAAAAGUUCUUUGGAAUAGGACAUCAUAGAGGGUGAGAAUCCCGUAUUUGACCAUUAUUUCCAACUUUGUGAUACACUUUCAAAGAGUCGGAUUGUUUGGGAAUGCAGUCCAAAAUGGGUGGUAAAUUUCAUCUAAAGCUAAAUAUUGGCGAGAGACCGAUAGCGAACAAGUACCGUGAGGGAAAGAUGAAAAGAACUUUGAAAAGAGAGUUAAACAGUACGUGAAAUUGUCAAAAGGGAAGCGUUUGACACCAGUGUUGUUUUUCCGAAAAUCAAUUAAGAAUGUUUUAGUUUUUGAGGAAGUUAUGACUUCAUCGGCUUGCUCCUUUCUUUAUGGAAACUUUCUUAAUGCACUUUUCGGUUAACAAGGUCAACAUCAAUUUCUUUUGUUGUAAAAGGGUAUGAGGAAGGUGGCUUUCUUUUCGGAGAAGGUGUUUAUAGCCUUGUACCUCUGCAAUCGGAGAGAUUGAGGUCUGCAGCGUAGAUCCUUCGGGGUUAGAUACAUUUGUGCUAAGUUAUAGUUUUUCAUAGACAACUUGUUGACUAUGAUUAAGUCAUGUAGCUUACUCGUUUGCGCUAUUUUACCUACGCUUAGGAUGUUGAGUCGUAGAGCACGCAG
This 778-nucleotide ribosomal RNA is filed under the name uncultured Neocallimastigales. RNAcentral's name for it is "partial large subunit ribosomal RNA". It matches the Rfam family "Eukaryotic large subunit ribosomal RNA", at positions 23 to 628 of the family's 3401-position model. The record is from RNAcentral. Lineage: Eukaryota; Fungi; Neocallimastigomycota; Neocallimastigomycetes; Neocallimastigales.